AAUGAAGUGCCUGAUUAAAGGGCUAUCGUGAUAGGGUAGAUUAUGUAAUUAAAUUACCUUCAUUA
Molecule: transfer RNA, 65 nt
Filed under: Cerconychia flectospina
Lineage: Eukaryota; Metazoa; Arthropoda; Insecta; Plecoptera; Styloperlidae
Description: tRNA-Ile
Source: RNAcentral